Molecule: ribosomal RNA, 253 nt
Filed under: uncultured bacterium
Lineage: Bacteria
Description: partial 16S ribosomal RNA
Rfam family: Bacterial small subunit ribosomal RNA
Source: RNAcentral
UACGAAGGGGGCUAGCGUUGUUCGGAAUCACUGGGCGUAAAGCGCACGUAGGCGGAUCUUUAAGUCAGAGGUGAAAUCCCAAGGCUCAACCUUGGAACUGCCUUUGAUACUGGAGAUCUUGAGUCCGGGAGAGGUGAGUGGAACUGCGAGUGUAGAGGUGAAAUUCGUAGAUAUUCGCAAGAACACCAGUGGCGAAGGCGGCUCACUGGCCCGGUACUGACGCUGAGGUGCGAAAGCGUGGGGAGCAAACAGG